RNAcentral lists this non-coding RNA (170 nucleotides) under human gut metagenome. Its description in RNAcentral is "Lysine riboswitch". It matches the Rfam family "Lysine riboswitch aptamer". From Rfam's summary of the family: Riboswitches are metabolite binding domains within certain messenger RNAs that serve as precision sensors for their corresponding targets. Allosteric rearrangement of mRNA structure is mediated by ligand binding, and this results in modulation of gene expression. The record is from RNAcentral.
GAAUAGAGGCGCGGCUGAUCAAUAGUACCGCGCGGUAGCCCCUCAAUGGGUGAUGACCGCGCGCGAAAGGGAUAGCCGCCGAAACGGAAGGCAUGGUUGAGCAGCCUUGCGUUGGGCAGCGGAAGAAGAUUUCGCUGACUGUCACGGCAGGUGCCGUGGUGCGCUAUUCG